UUAAGUCCCGCAACGAGCGCAACCCUUGUUCCAUGUUGCCAGCACGUAAUGGUGGGGACUCAUGGGAGACUGCCGGGGUCAACUCGGAGGAAGGUGGGGAUGACGUCAAGUCAUCAUGCCCCUUAUGUCUUGGGCUGCAAACAUGCUACAAUGGCCGGUACAAUGGGCGUGCGAUACCGUAAGGUGGAGCGAAUCCCUAAAAGCCGGUCUCAGUUCGGAUUGGGGUCUGCAACUCGACCCCAUGAAGGUGGAGUCGCUAGUAAUCGCGGAUCAGCAACGCCGCGGUGAAUACGUUCCCGGGCCUUGUACACACCGCCCGUCACGUCAUGAAAGUCGGCAACACCCGAAACUUGCGGCCUAACCCCUUGUGGGAGGGAGUG
RNAcentral lists this ribosomal RNA (380 nucleotides) under Nocardiopsis sp. RNAcentral's name for it is "bacterial SSU rRNA". It matches the Rfam family "Bacterial small subunit ribosomal RNA", at positions 1080 to 1454 of the family's 1533-position model. Lineage: Bacteria; Bacillati; Actinomycetota; Actinomycetes; Streptosporangiales; Nocardiopsidaceae. The record is from RNAcentral.